Molecule: ribosomal RNA, 492 nt
Filed under: uncultured bacterium
Lineage: Bacteria
Description: partial 16S ribosomal RNA
Rfam family: Bacterial small subunit ribosomal RNA
Source: RNAcentral
AGUGAACGCUGGCGGUAGGCCUAACACAUGCAAGUCGAACGGCAGCACAGUAAGAGCUUGCUCUUACGGGUGGCGAGUGGCGGACGGGUGAGGAAUACAUCGGAAUCUACUUUUUCGUGGGGGAUAACGUAGGGAAACUUACGCUAAUACCGCAUACGACCUACGGGUGAAAGCAGGGGAUCUUCGGACCUUGCGCGAUUGAAUGAGCCGAUGUCGGAUUAGCUAGUUGGCGGGGUAAAGGCCCACCAAGGCGACGAUCCGUAGCUGGUCUGAGAGGAUGGUCAGCCACACUGGAACUGAGACACGGUCGAGACUCCUACGGGAGGCAGCAGUGGGGAAUAUUAGACAAUGGGCGAAAGCCUGAUCCAGCCAUACCGCGUGGGUGAAGAAGGCCUUCGGGUUGUAAAGCCCUUUUGUUGGGAAAGAAAAGCAGCAGGUUAAUACCCCGCUGUUCUGACGGUACCCAAAGAAUAAGCACCGGCUAACUUCGUG